GUCUCAGUUCGGAUUGGAGUCAGCAACUCGACUCCAUGAAGCUGGAUUCGCUAGUAAUCGCGCAUCAGCCAUGGCGCGGUGAAUACGUUCCCGGGCCUUGUACACACCGCCCGUCAAGCCAUGGGAGCCGGGGGUGCCUGAAGUACGUGACCGCGAGGAGCGUCCUAGGGCAAAACUGGUGACUGGGGCUAAGUCGUAACAAGGUAAC
This 208-nucleotide ribosomal RNA is filed under the name uncultured bacterium. RNAcentral's name for it is "partial 16S ribosomal RNA". It matches the Rfam family "Bacterial small subunit ribosomal RNA", at positions 1285 to 1500 of the family's 1533-position model. The record is from RNAcentral.